GUCGAGAAUAAUUCACAAUGGGGGAAACCCUGAUGGUGCAACGCCGCGUGGAGGAUGAAGGUCUUCGGAUUGUAAACUCCUGUCAUCUGGGAGUAAGACCUGACGGUGAAUAGCCGGCAGGGUUGAUAGUACCAGAAGAGGAAGGGACGGCUAACUUCGUGCCAGCAGCCGCGGUAAUACGAAGGUCCCAAGCGUUGUUCGGAAUCACUGGGCGUAAAGGGAGCGUAGGCGGCGUGGUAAGUCAGAUGUGAAAUCCCGGGGCUCAACCCCGGAACUGCAUCCGAUACUGCCAUGCUUGAGGGUUGGAGAGGUAGCUGGAAUUCUCGGUGUAGCAGUGAAAUGCGUGGAUAUCGAGAGGAACACUCGUGGCGAAGGCGAGCUACUGGACAACAUCUGACGCUGAGGCUCGAAGGCCAGGGGAGCAAACAGGAUUAGAAACCCGAGUAGUCC
This 450-nucleotide ribosomal RNA is filed under the name uncultured bacterium. RNAcentral describes it as "partial 16S ribosomal RNA". It matches the Rfam family "Bacterial small subunit ribosomal RNA", at positions 354 to 796 of the family's 1533-position model. The record is from RNAcentral.